CGCAUCUGUGCAUGCAGCAUAUCAAUAAGCGGAGGAAAAGAAACUAACAAGGAUUCCCCUAGUAACGGCGAGUGAAGCGGGAAGAGCUCAAAUUUGAAAUCUUAAAGGGUUUCCCUUUACGAAUUGUAGUUUAAAGAAGUGUUUUCUGUUGAGGUUUUGGCUAAAAGUUCUUUGGAAUAGGACAUCAUAGAGGGUGAGAAUCCCGUAUUUGACCUUUACUUUCAACUUUGUGAUACACUUUCAAAGAGUCGGAUUGUUUGGGAAUGCAGUCCAAAAUGGGUGGUAAAUUUCAUCUAAAGCUAAAUAUUGGCGAGAGACCGAUAGCGAACAAGUACCGUGAGGGAAGGAUGAAAAGAACUUUGAAAAGAGAGUUAAACAGUACGUGAAAUUGUCAAAAGGGAAGCGUUUGACACCAGUGUUGUUUUUCUGAAAAUCAAUUAAAGAACUGUUUAUGCUAAGUUGUUUAGACUUUAUCAGCUAACUGUUUAGUUUUGAGCUUUUCUUUAAUGCACUUUUCAGUUAACAAGUCAACAUCAAUUUCUUUUGCUGUAAAAAAGCUUGAGGAAGGUGGCUUGAGAUUCGUCUUAAGUGUUUAUAGCCUCUUGCCUAUGCAGUCGGAGAGAUUGAGGUCUGCAGCGUAGAUCCUUCGGGGCUAAAUGCAUUUGUGCUAAGUUAUAGCAUUUUAUAGACAACUUGUUGACUAUGAUUUGUCUUGUAGCUUACUCGCUUAUGUUAUUUUACCUACGCUUAGGAUGUUGAGCGCAUGUCUCUCUCU
RNAcentral lists this ribosomal RNA (775 nucleotides) under uncultured Neocallimastigales. Its description in RNAcentral is "partial large subunit ribosomal RNA". It matches the Rfam family "Eukaryotic large subunit ribosomal RNA", at positions 26 to 616 of the family's 3401-position model. Lineage: Eukaryota; Fungi; Neocallimastigomycota; Neocallimastigomycetes; Neocallimastigales. The record is from RNAcentral.